This 478-nucleotide ribosomal RNA is filed under the name uncultured bacterium. Its description in RNAcentral is "partial 16S ribosomal RNA". It matches the Rfam family "Bacterial small subunit ribosomal RNA", at positions 28 to 523 of the family's 1533-position model. The record is from RNAcentral.
GACGAACGCUGGCGGCGUGCUUAACACAUGCAAGUCGAACGGUAAGGCCCUUCGGGGUACACGAGUGGCGAACGGGUGAGUAACACGUGGGUGAUCUGCCCUGCACUUCGGGAUAAGCCUGGGAAACUGGGUCUAAUACCGGAUAGGACCCUGGGAUGCAUGUCCUGGGGUGGAAAGCUUUUGCGGUGUGGGAUGGGCCCGCGGCCUAUCAGCUUGUUGGUGGGGUGAUGGCCUACCAAGGCGACGACGGGUAGCCGGCCUGAGAGGGUGACCGGCCACACUGGGACGGAGAUACGGCCCAGACUCCUACGGGAGGCAGCAGUGAGGAAUAUUGCACAAUGGGCGCAAGCCUGAUGCAGCGACGCCGCGUGAGAGAUGACGGCCUUCGGGCUGUAAACCUCUUUCAGCACCGACGAAGCGCAAGUGACGGUAGGUGCAGAAGAAGGACCGGCCAACUACGUGCCAGCCGCCGCAGUAA